GCCGGGCGCAGUGGUGGGUGCCUGUGGCCCCAGCUACUCGGGAGGCUGAGGUGGAAGGAUCGCUUGAGCCCAGGAGUUCUGGGCUGCAGUGCGCUAUGCCGAUCAGGUGUCCGCACUAAGUUCGGCAUCAAUAUGGUGACCUCCCAGGAGUGGGGGGCCACCAGGUUGCCUAAGGGCCACCAGGGGCCCAGGUCAGAAAUGGAGCAGGUCAAAACUCCAGUGCUGAUCGGUAGUGGGAUCGCACCUGUGAAUAGCCACUGCACUCCCACCUGGGCAACAUAGGGAGACACCAUCUCUA
Molecule: unclassified non-coding RNA, 298 nt
Organism: Callithrix jacchus (white-tufted-ear marmoset)
Lineage: Eukaryota; Metazoa; Chordata; Mammalia; Primates; Cebidae
Rfam family: Metazoan signal recognition particle RNA
About the family: The signal recognition particle (SRP) is a universally conserved ribonucleoprotein. It is involved in the co-translational targeting of proteins to membranes.
Source: Ensembl